UAAAGAGCUCGUAGGUGGUUUGUCGCGUUGUUCGUGAAAUCUCACGGCUUAACUGUGAGCGUGCGGGCGAUACGGGCAGACUUGAGUACUGCAGGGGAGACUGGAAUUCCUGGUGUAGCGGUGGAAUGCGCAGAUAUCAGGAGGAACACCGGUGGCGAAGGCGGGUCUCUGGGCAGUAACUGACGCUGAGGAGCGAAAGCGUGGGGAGCGAACAGGAUUAGAUACCCUGGUAGUCCACGCCGUAAACGGUGGGUACUAGGUGUGGGUUUCCUUCCUUGGGAUCCGUGCCGUAGCUAACGCAUUAAGUACCCCGCCUGGGGAGUACGGCCGCAAGGCUAAAACUCAAAGAAAUUGACGGGGGCCCGCACAAGCGGCGGAGCAUGUGGAUUAAUUCGAUGCAACGCGAAGAACCUUACCUGGGUUUGACAUGCACAGGACGCCGGCAGAGAUGUCGGUUCCCUUGUGGCCUGUGUGCAGGUGGUGCAUGGCUGUCGUCAGCUCGUGUCGUGAGAUGUUGGGUUAAGUCCCGCAACGAGCGCAACCCUUGUCUCAUGUUGCCAGCGGGUAAUGCCGGGGACUCGUGAGAGACUGCCGGGGUCAACUCGGAGGAAGGUGGGGAUGACGUCAAGUCAUCAUGCCCCUUAUGUCCAGGGCUUCACACAUGCUACAAUGGCCGGUACAAAGGGCUGCGAUGCCGCGAGGUUAAGCGAAUCCUUUUAAAGCCGGUCUCAGUUCGGAUCGGGGUCUGCAACUCGACCCCGUGAAGUCGGAGUCGCUAGU
This 780-nucleotide ribosomal RNA is filed under the name uncultured bacterium. RNAcentral's name for it is "bacterial SSU rRNA". It matches the Rfam family "Bacterial small subunit ribosomal RNA", at positions 561 to 1339 of the family's 1533-position model. The record is from RNAcentral. RNAcentral also lists the same sequence under 1 other name.